RNAcentral lists this ribosomal RNA (1693 nucleotides) under Mesorhizobium sp. RNAcentral describes it as "partial 23S ribosomal RNA". It matches the Rfam family "Bacterial large subunit ribosomal RNA", at positions 1 to 1724 of the family's 2925-position model. Lineage: Bacteria; Pseudomonadati; Pseudomonadota; Alphaproteobacteria; Hyphomicrobiales; Phyllobacteriaceae. The record is from RNAcentral.
GGGUUGUGAGGUUAAGCGACUAAGCGUACACGGUGGAUGCCCAGGCAGUCAGAGGCGAUGAAGGACGUGCUAAUCUGCGUAAAGCGACGGUAAGGUGAUAUGAACCGCUACAGCCGUCGAUGUCCGAAUGGGGAAACCCGGUGCACUCUGUGCAUCAUUGCAGCAUGAAUACAUAGUGCUGCAAGGCGAACCGGGGGAACUGAAACAUCUAAGUACCCCGAGGAAAAGAAAUCAACCGAGAUUCCCCCAGUAGCGGCGAGCGAACGGGGAGCAGCCCAGAGCCUGAAUCAGCUUGUGUGUUAGUGGAAGCGUCUGGAAAGUCGCAGGGUACAGGGUGAUACUCCCGUACACAAAAACACACAUGCUGUGAGCUCGAUGAGUAAGGCGGGACACGUGGUAUCCUGUCUGAAUAUGGGGGGACCAUCCUCCAAGGCUAAAUACUCCUGACUGACCGAUAGUGAACCAGUACCGUGAGGGAAAGGCGAAAAGAACCCCGGCGAGGGGAGUGAAACAGAACCUGAAACCGUGUACGUACAAGCAGUGGGAGCCUUCUUUAUGGGGGUGACUGCGUACCUUUUGUAUAAUGGGUCAGCGACUUAUAUUCUGUAGCAAGGUUAACCGUAUAGGGGAGCCGCAGGGAAACCGAGUCUUAACUGGGCGUUAAGUUGCAGGGUAUAGACCCGAAACCCGGUGAUCUAGCCAUGGGCAGGUUGAAGGUUGGGUAACACUAACUGGAGGACCGAACCGACUAAUGUUGAAAAAUUAGCGGAUGACCUGUGGCUGGGGGUGAAAGGCCAAUCAAACCGGGAGAUAGCUGGUUCUCCCCGAAAGCUAUUUAGGUAGCGCCUCGUGAACUCAUCUUCGGGGGUAGAGCACUGUUUCGGCUAGGGGGCCAUCCCGGCUUACCAACCCGAUGCAAACUGCGAAUACCGAAGAAUGUUAUCACGGGAGACACACGGCGGGUGCUAACGUCCGUCGUGAAGAGGGAAACAACCCAGACCGCCAGCUAAGGUCCCAAAGUCAUGGUUAAGUGGGAAACGAUGUGGGAAGGCACAGACAGCCAGGAUGUUGGCUUAGAAGCAGCCAUCAUUUAAAGAAAGCGUAAUAGCUCACUGGUCGAGUCGGCCUGCGCGGAAGAUGUAACGGGGCUAAACCAUGCACCGAAGCUGCGGCAGCGACACUUAUGUGUUGUUGGGUAGGGGAGCGUUCUGUAAGCCGUCGAAGGUGUGCUGUGAGGCAUGCUGGAGGUAUCAGAAGUGCGAAUGCUGACAUAAGUAACGAUAAAGCGGGUGAAAAGCCCGCUCGCCGGAAGACCAAGGGUUCCUGUUCAACGUUAAUCGGAGCAGGGUGAGUCGACCCCUAAGGCGAGGCCGAAAGGCGUAGUCGAUGGGAAACAGGUUAAUAUUCCUGUACUCGGUGUUACUGCGAAGGGGGGACGGAGAAGGCUAUAUCAGCCGGGCGACGGUUGUCCCGGUUUAAGCGUGUAGGCGGAGUGUCCAGGUAAAUCCGGACGCUUAUUAACGCUGAGGCGUGACGACGAGGCACUACGGUGCUGAAGUGAUAAAUGCCCAGCUUCCAGGAAAAGCCUCUAAGCAUCAGGUAACACAGAAUCGUACCCCAAACCGACACAGGUGGUCAGGUAGAGAAUACCAAGGCGCUUGAGAGAACUCGGGUGAAGGAACUAGGCAAAAUG